This 305-nucleotide ribosomal RNA is filed under the name uncultured bacterium. RNAcentral describes it as "bacterial SSU rRNA". It matches the Rfam family "Bacterial small subunit ribosomal RNA", at positions 330 to 652 of the family's 1533-position model. The record is from RNAcentral.
CCCUGCCUACGGGACGCAGCAGUGGGGAAUAUUGGGCAAUGGGCGCAAGCCUGACCCAGCAAUGCCGCGUGAAGGAAGAAGGCCCUCGGGUUGUAAACUUCUUUUAUCAGGGACGAAGGAUGUGACGGUACCUGAUGAAUAAGCUCCGGCUAACUACGUGCCAGCAGCCGCGGUAAUACGUAGGGAGCAAGCGUUAUCCGGAUUUACUGGGUGUAAAGGGCGCGUAGGCGGGAUGGCAAGUCAGAUGUGAAAUCCAGGGGCUCAACCCCUGAACUGCAUUUGAAACUGUCCAGCUGGAGUGCAGG